This 497-nucleotide ribosomal RNA is filed under the name uncultured bacterium. RNAcentral's name for it is "partial 16S ribosomal RNA". It matches the Rfam family "Bacterial small subunit ribosomal RNA", at positions 28 to 507 of the family's 1533-position model. The record is from RNAcentral.
GAUGAACGCUGGCGGCGUGCCUAAUACAUGCAAGUCGAGCGGACGGACGAGAAGCUUGCUUCUCUGAUGUUAGCGGCGGACGGGUGAGUAACACGUGGAUAACCUACCUAUAAGACUGGGAUAACUUCGGGAAACCGGAGCUAAUACCGGAUAAUAUUUUGCACCGCAUGGUUCAAAAGUGAAAGACGGUCUUGCUGUCACUUGUAGAUGGAUCCGCGCUGCAUUAGCUAGUUGGUAGGGUAACGGCUUACCAAGGCAACGAUGCAUAGCCGACCUGAGAGGGUGGUCGGCCACAUUGGAACGGAGACACGGUCCAGACUCCUACGGGAGGAAGCAGUAGGGAACCUUCCGCAAUGGGCGAAAGCCUGACGGAGCAACGCCGCGUGAGUGAUGAAGGUCUUCGGAUCGUAAAACUCGGUUAUUAGGGAAGAACAUAUGUGUAAGUAACUGUGCACAUCUUGACGGUACCUAAUCAGAAAGCCACGGCUAACUACGUG